CCGUAGUUAUAACCAAUAGCUAGGUGAUAAACAACGUUCUUCUAAACAACGGUAAGUAAUUUAAUUGUGUUGUGUGUACGUAUAUAGACGCAAUCUCAUCACCAUAAAACGACAAGAAGCUCAGGUUUUGGGGGUAUAUUGGGUAUCAUUCCAUGAACCCCAGCACUUAGCAUGGGGGCUCCAUAUGGUGUUGACAUGUGAGGCUUUGUAGCGUUUCCAGUCGUGAAGAACAAGAGUGAGAUCAAAGACUUUGGCAGAGAUGUGACGGCAGCAGUUGGCGUGGACGGUGGUGACAGCACCCAUGUCAGGGCUAUCUUGGCAGAAACCGCUGAAGUGUGUGGUGUUGAGGAAGCCAACGGUGAGACCAAGCUGGUUGAAUAAACCCAAGUCGAGGAGAUUCUUGAGGACGUCUUGUUCUUUCAUGCCUGUCGAGUUGAGUCUCAUGUCGUACCAUUUCUGGAAAAGAGAGAUGGUCCUGUUGUUGGAACGGACGUGGUAGAAGCCAGUGUUUAUCAAGUGUCCUCCUAUGCCGCUGUCCACGCUUAUCUGCAUAUCCAAGGUCCCGUUGUUGCUUAGCCGAGAGAAGGGGUUCCUUAGCCACAUCACGUCCGUGUCCUGACAAAUUAACAUUCUCUGUGUGUUUUAAGUGUUUUUGUAAAAUAACUUUUUCUUUGUAAAAUAAAUGUAGUUCUAUUGUUUCAGUGCAAUUUUUCUCAUAAAUUAAUAUUUUAUCGUUAAUUAAAUUAAAAAAAAAUAAAUGUUAUGAAAUUUAAAUAGUAAAAUAAGGGUGACAUUAAACAUUUAACUAGUUUGUGUGAACAAAAUUAAAACCAGGUCUAAUUUGAAACCAGGUCUAACUGAAGAGAGUUUUAAGAAACGUUCUUAGUUAAAGUUAAGAGAACUCCAUCCUAAGAACCCUCAAUAAUCAUAUCAGAAACAAAGGUUUUGAAACCCUAAAGUGUGUUGUGUUUUAUAUUUUUAUGUUCCAAAGCCGACAACUAACUAACCGUGAAAAGGAGAUGGUAGCCACGGCGGAGAACUUCUAGGAGCAAUCGAGUUCUCCUCCACAUCAUCUCAAUGAAAUCAUCUGACAUAUAUACUUUCUCUCCCUCCAAGUCAAUUCCCUCCGUCUCCAUCUUGUAGCAAUGGAGCCUCCUGAAACGACAGCGAUCAUAGGCCGUCUGAUCCGCUGCAACCACCAUCAGAUGGUCCAGCAAUGGCAUGGUACCCUCUCCUUCCCAGAAACUCUCCAGGAACAGAUCCAGCAUCGUCCUCCCUCCUACAACCUCCUCCACGUACGCUUUGUUCACCAUCGUUAUAAUCACCGUCUUGUUGUUUCCUAUUGCUGCACUGUCCAGCGCCACCUCUAGGUCGUCCACUGGAAACUUUAUCGUUCUCUGUCACCACUUCCGAAGUAUUAAUACAUAUACUAUACCCUAUAUAUACACUUACUUUAGGUUCCAGUAUAUUAUACGAAACAACUUACCAGAAUGUUAAAAUUGUGUUGGAGGCCGGAGACAGGAUCAGAGAUCAAACGUGAGGAGAAGCAGAUAUAUAGAGCGCCGGCAAAGAGGAGAGCAACAGCCACGACGAGAUUGCCGGAAGAGUUAUUGGAGAGAGGCAUUUUUUUUUUUGAAAUUAUAUGUUAAAUUAAUUCAAAGAAAAAUACACUAUUUUAAAAUUAUGAAACUUUAAUAAUUUGAGUUUUGUAGUUGAGAGGCAUGUUUUCACGGUAUCGGAUUAUUAGAAGUAGGUGACUCAUGUAUGUUAUGUGCCCCUUUCUCACUCCCUUUUAAUUUGUACACAACAAUUUUAACCUACAAGUUUAUAUGCUAAAUAAUACUACCUUCCAGAUCAAACUACCUUACAGAUCACCAAAUAACCUAAUCAGUUGCAGGUCAAUCAAAGUAGAAACAUUUUCCCAAAAGGAAGAAAGAAACAAGCAUUAGACCAAACUUCUCCAUUUACUGAAACCAGUACCUACAAUUGUCUCUUUCUCGUAUUCAGAUAUUUCCUAGUGGGAAAUCGACUGCGGAUCCUAGAUACUCCUGUAAACAUUUUGCAGGAUUAGAUUAUCACAAUAAAGGAGCUCAUCAAACUCAAUUCAACCAAUCGUAGAUAUUAUUCCCUCUGUUCAUAAAAGUAGGAUUUUCUAGAUUUAUUUUUGUUCCAAAAUGAUAGAUUUUCUAAAAUUUUAAAGUAGUUUUAGUAGUUAAUAUUGAAAAGUUGUAUACUUUUAAAAAACAUUAAUUGAAAAUAUUUGAAUUGGUUGAAUACUAUUGGUCGAUAUUUGUUGGAAAAUGUAUAAUAAAAUAAAUAAUAAAUUCUAUUGUAAAUAUUUAUUAUAUUCUUAAUAUGCGUGAAUACUCUUGAAAAUCAUUUUUUCGGAAACGGAGGGAGUAAUAAAACUAAACCGAGCGAUUAUAACCGUAAUGCUAUUACGAGUUGGAUUACGUAAUCAACCGUGUCCUCAUUAUGAUAUCAGUUGAUCAGAAAUUCACAAAAGACAAAACUAUCAAAAAGAAUAAUUAUUGUAACAAUAAAUUUGUAGAUUGUAACCUGCGAAAGAGGAGCUGAAUAGAGUAACCGAGAACGUUGCGACAAGCGAAGAGGAAUAACAAGUAAAAAGUGUAAGUGGGGAUGAAUCCAGAAAUAUUGAGCAGAAUGUAAACGACACAUAAAGUUUGUUAACAGAGUUUGUUUCCUACAUUCUUAAGAUUUCGUCUAGAUUGGAAAUCCACUAGUGUUAAUUAAUUGUGUUGUGUGUACGUAUAUAGACGCAAUCUCAUCACCAUAAAACGACAAGAAGCUCAGGUUUUGGGGGUAUAUUGGGUAUCAUUCCAUGAACCCCAGCACUUAGCAUGGGGGCUCCAUAUGGUGUUGACAUGUGAGGCUUUGUAGCGUUUCCAGUCGUGAAGAACAAGAGUUAGAUCAAAG
Molecule: long non-coding RNA, 2937 nt
Filed under: Brassica napus (rape)
Lineage: Eukaryota; Viridiplantae; Streptophyta; Magnoliopsida; Brassicales; Brassicaceae
Description: long non-coding RNA (BNAP_LNC023339)
Source: RNAcentral